AAAAGGUUAUCUUCUUCACCUCAUCUCAUCUCACCUCCACCAUCCAACCCACCACAAAACCAAACCUAGAAAACUCACAUUCGCUGACUGAUCAACCGGUCAUAGCCACCUAUCUCACCCCAAUUCAUAAACUGCCACCACCACCACAAUCAAACCAAAACAAUCACUAUCACCACCAAACCAUCAAACCCACCCUUUCUAUUGGGAAAAUUGCAGUAAUUUUGGUAGCCACCCAAAUCCAAAGAAACCAUUGGUCACCAAUCCAUCGAAAUUUCUUCCCUAGCCGAUGGCCUCAAUCCACAUACACAUCCCACACAAUUAAUUGGACAAACAACAACACAAGAAGAUCAAAAUGAAAUUGAAAAGCCAAAGGAGUCUCAUGGCUUAACCCCUCAAAUAGCCACCUACAGUCACACCAAUGGUCGCGCCUCACUGCUGCUAGUCUUACCACUCUAGGCAAGCAUAUUCAUGGUGGAAUAUCAUCAAAUCAAAAGAUAGAGAUGGGUUGGAUUUUCAGAACUUCGAAAUUUUUUAAUGAUGGGUUGGGUUUUCAGGGGCUUCGAUGGAUGGUUGGGAGAGGGAAUUUGACCAAGGUUUGAUGAUAGGAUGGUGGAGGAAGGUGAUGGUAGUUCGGCAAAGAAGGCGGCGACAACAACGAUUUAGG
This 664-nucleotide long non-coding RNA is filed under the name Olea europaea subsp. europaea. Lineage: Eukaryota; Viridiplantae; Streptophyta; Magnoliopsida; Lamiales; Oleaceae. The record is from RNAcentral.